This 499-nucleotide ribosomal RNA is filed under the name uncultured bacterium. Its description in RNAcentral is "bacterial SSU rRNA". It matches the Rfam family "Bacterial small subunit ribosomal RNA", at positions 8 to 518 of the family's 1533-position model. The record is from RNAcentral.
AGAGUUUGAUUAUGGCUCAGGAUGAACGCUGGCGGCGUGCUUAACACAUGCAAGUCGAGCGGAGGUUGUACUCGGUACAACCUUAGCGGCGGACGGGUGAGUAACGCGUGGGUGACCUGCCUUAUACAGGGGGAUAACAGUGAGAAAUCACUGCUAAUACCGCAUAAGACCACAGUGCUGCAUGGCACAGAGGUAAGAGGAGCAAUCCAGUAUAAGAUGGACCCGCGUCUGAUUAGCUAGUUGGAGAGGUAACGGCUCACCAAGGCGACGAUCAGUAGCCGACCUGAGAGGGUGAUCGGCCACAUUGGGACUGAGACACGGCCCAAACUCCUACGGGAGGCAGCAGUGGGGAAUAUUGCACAAUGGGGGGAAAAACCCCCUGAUGCAGCAACGCCGCGUGAAGGAAGACGGUUUUCGGAUUGUAAACUUCUAUCGACGGGGAAGAAUAAAUGACAGUACCCGAGUAAGAAGCCCCGGCUAACUACGUGCCAGCAGCAGC